AAGUCGUAACAAGGUCUCCGUAGGUGAACCUGCGGAGGGAUCAUUACCGAGUGAGGGCCCUCUGGCCCGACCUCCAACCCUUUGUAACCCGACCCUGUUGCCUCGGGGGCGACCCUGCCUUCGGGCGUUGGGGCCCCGGCGGACCACUCAACUCUGCAUCUCUGCGUCUGAGUCUUAUUUUGAAUUAAAUCAAAA
RNAcentral lists this unclassified non-coding RNA (195 nucleotides) under plant metagenome. Its description in RNAcentral is "partial contains small subunit ribosomal RNA and internal transcribed spacer 1". The stretch from base 1 to 46 matches the Rfam family "Eukaryotic small subunit ribosomal RNA", at positions 1786 to 1831 of the family's 1831-position model. The record is from RNAcentral.